AGAAUCAACGCUGGCGGCGUGCCUAACACAUGCAAGUCGCACGAGAAAGGGUAGCAAUACCUGAGUAAAGUGGCGCACGGGUGAGUAACACGUGACUAAUCUACCCUCGAGUGGGGAAUAACUGAGAGAAAUCUCAGCUAAUACCGCAUAACACUUACGAGUCAAAGCAGAAAUGCGCUUGGGGAGGAGGUCGCGGCCGAUUAGCUAGUUGGCGGGGUAAUGGCCCACCAAGGCGAUGAUCGGUA
RNAcentral lists this ribosomal RNA (245 nucleotides) under uncultured bacterium. Its description in RNAcentral is "partial small subunit ribosomal RNA". It matches the Rfam family "Bacterial small subunit ribosomal RNA", at positions 26 to 285 of the family's 1533-position model. The record is from RNAcentral.